Molecule: ribosomal RNA, 430 nt
Filed under: uncultured Acidobacteriota bacterium
Lineage: Bacteria; Pseudomonadati; Acidobacteriota
Description: bacterial SSU rRNA
Rfam family: Bacterial small subunit ribosomal RNA
Source: RNAcentral
UAGAGUUUGAUCCUGGCUCAGAAUCAACGCUGGCGGCGUGCCUAACACAUGCAAGUCCAACGAGAAAGUGUAGCAAUACAUGAGUACAGUGGCGACCGGGUGAGUAACACGUGACUAACCUACCUUCUUGUGGGGAAUAACCUUCCGAAAGGAGGGCUAAUACCGCAUAACAUCGCGAGGUGAGAUUCCUUGUGAUCAAAGGAGCAAUUCGCAGGAAGAGGGGGUCGCGGCUGAUUAGCUAGUUGGUGAGGUAACGGCUCACCAAGGCAGUGAUCAGUAUCCGGCCUGAGAGGGCGCACGGACACACUGGAACUGAAACACGGUCCAGACUCCUACGGGAGGCAGCAGUGGGGAAUUUUGCGCAAUGGGGGAAACCCUGACGCAGCAACGCCGCGUGGAGGAUGAAGCUUCUCGGAGUGUAAACCCCUUU